UUCUGGGUAGCGACCGAUCUAAGUUCCUUGGAACAGGACGUCAUAGAGGGUGAGAAUCCCGUAUGUGACCGGCCCGCACCCUUUACGUAGCUCCUUCGACGAGUCGAGUUGUUUGGGAAUGCAGCUCUAAAUGGGAGGUAAAUUUCUUCUAAAGCUAAAUACCGGCCAGAGACCGAUAGCGCACAAGUAGAGUGAUCGAAAGAUGAAAAGUACUUUGGAAAGAGAGUUAAAAAGCACGUGAAAUUGUUGAAAGGGAAGCGCCUGCAACCAGACUUCGCGGCAGUGUUCCGCCGGUCUUCUGACCGGUUCAUUCUCUGUCGCGAGGCCAUCAUCGUCUGGGCCCGCCGGAUAAGACCUGAGGAAUGUGGCUCCCCCUCGGGGGAGUGUUAUAGCCUCUGGUGAUGCGGCGUGGCU
Molecule: ribosomal RNA, 414 nt
Filed under: Cercospora sp.
Lineage: Eukaryota; Fungi; Ascomycota; Dothideomycetes; Mycosphaerellales; Mycosphaerellaceae
Description: partial large subunit ribosomal RNA
Rfam family: Eukaryotic large subunit ribosomal RNA
Source: RNAcentral